RNAcentral lists this ribosomal RNA (307 nucleotides) under uncultured soil bacterium. Its description in RNAcentral is "bacterial SSU rRNA". It matches the Rfam family "Bacterial small subunit ribosomal RNA", at positions 26 to 331 of the family's 1533-position model. The record is from RNAcentral.
AGAAUCAACGCUGGCGGCGUGCCUCAGACAUGCAAGUCGAACGAUUAAAGCUCUCUUCGGAGAGUGUAUAGAGUGGCGCACGGGUGAGUAACACGUAAGUAAUCUACCUCUGAGUGGGGAUACGUCCGGAAACGGACGCUAAUACCGCAUAAUGCAGCGGCACCGCAAGGUGACAGUUGUUAAAGAUUUAUCGCUUAGAGAGGAGCUUGCGGCAGAUUAGCUAGUUGGUAAGGUAAUGGCUUACCAAGGCUACGAUCUGUAACCGGUCUUAGAGGACGGUCGGUCACACUGACACUGAAUAACGGGU